This 593-nucleotide long non-coding RNA is filed under the name Salmo salar (Atlantic salmon). RNAcentral's name for it is "lncRNA (ENSSSAG00000107014.1)". The record is from RNAcentral. Lineage: Eukaryota; Metazoa; Chordata; Actinopteri; Salmoniformes; Salmonidae.
CUGUCUGAAGUGGUCUGUUAACCUGAGUGGAGGGUAAAGGCCUGUCUGAAGUGGUCUGUUAACCUGAGUGGAGGGUAAAGGCCUGUCUGAAGGAGACACUUUGCUGGCCUGGUUGCAUCCCAAAUGGCACCCUAUUCCCUAUAUACUGCACUACUUUAGGCCAGAGCCCUUUGGGCCAUUUGACACAGCCUGCUGUUACUGCCCCAGAUGUGUGUGUGUGUGUGUGUGUGUGCUGUCACUACCCCAGGUGUGUGUGUGCUGUCACUACCCCAGAUGUGCUGUCACUACCACAGAUGUGUGUGUGUGUGUGUGUGUGUGUGUGCUGUCACUACCCCAGUUCUGGCCCUGAGGCUCUGAGUCAUCUUUCUGCUAGAGGUCACCCUGGGUUGUUCACUUUUAAGGCGAAUUUCCUGCAAUUCAACACAUUUUGCCAUGGCUUAUGCUAUCUGAGUGCCGUGUCUUGACAUUUUGGGAAUGUCAGAUUCUCCCUGACUGUCUAGUUUUAUUUUGGUGAUUGUUAGUUCUCAAAGAUGAUCUUAUUAAAAUAUAUUGCCAUAUUAUCUUUUCUACAUAUUUUAUAUCUGGUUAUAGUC